Molecule: long non-coding RNA, 796 nt
Filed under: Selaginella moellendorffii
Lineage: Eukaryota; Viridiplantae; Streptophyta; Lycopodiopsida; Selaginellales; Selaginellaceae
Description: long non-coding RNA (SMOE_LNC000521)
Source: RNAcentral
GGUUAGAACAAACAGUUUGUUAAACUUCGACGUCCAUUUCGUCCAUUUCGUUGAACAAAACAAACAGUAUACGAGUUGAUCUGAGCGCCUUUUCUUGUAAAUUCACGCUAUGAUCACUGUGCUUCCUGUAGCCAUUGAGAAGAACACACAUUCCUUUGCCUUCGUAGUUUUCAUUAUCGUUGUUUUCAUUGAGGUUGGACCAUUGCCAUGUACGUCUUCAGCUAGAUUGAAGUUCUGAAGCUCGCAGGCAACGUUGUUUCUCAGCUCGCAGGUGUUGUGUUGAGCGCAGUAACAACGUAAUUCAAAAUGUUGACAAUUUCUCAAAAACGUCGACAUAAAGUCUCUCCAAUCUCGUAGCAUUCUGUGACACAGCUUUUUUCAGUUCUUACCGUCGUUGAGCAGCACCAACAUGUCACUUGGCUUCUUCAUGACAAGAAAUUAGAACAAAUUGGAACACACGCAAACCUGAAGCUUUGUUCACAUUCAGACAAAGUUGUCCACAUCAGUGGGUUUCCCUUCGCGUUGGGAGUUCCUUGGGCCCAUUGUUUUGCAUUUGAGUUGUUUGAGCAUAUCAUCUGGUUUCUUUUUGCGUUGCAAUCUAAACGAAAGAGCAAACCUAGUGUCUUCAAACGUUGAGAGUUUCAACACGAUUUCUUGAUCGCCUCUAGCCUUUCUUUUAUCUUAGCUCGUUGCGCUUUCUUGUCCCCAGAAAAUCUCUGUAUUACUCGCUUAUUGCUCGCGCAAAGAAAAGCCUUACCUAAACGGCGAGCGGCCUACCUGGCAGAGUGGACCGAAG